RNAcentral lists this ribosomal RNA (258 nucleotides) under Burkholderia sp. ISO749_OTU134. RNAcentral's name for it is "partial 16S ribosomal RNA". It matches the Rfam family "Bacterial small subunit ribosomal RNA", at positions 30 to 289 of the family's 1533-position model. The record is from RNAcentral. Lineage: Bacteria; Pseudomonadati; Pseudomonadota; Betaproteobacteria; Burkholderiales; Burkholderiaceae.
UUGAACGCUGGCGGCAUGCCUUACACAUGCAAGUCGAACGGCAGCACGGGAGCAAUCCUGGUGGCGAGUGGCGAACGGGUGAGUAAUACAUCGGAACGUGUCCUGGAGUGGGGGAUAGCCCGGCGAAAGCCGGAUUAAUACCGCAUACGCUCUACGGAGGAAAGGGGGGGAUCUUAGGACCUCUCGCUCAAGGGGCGGCCGAUGGCAGAUUAGCUAGUUGGUGGGGUAAAGGCCUACCAAGGCGACGAUCUGUAGCUG